Long non-coding RNA from Arabidopsis thaliana (thale cress), 338 nucleotides. RefSeq annotates it as other RNA. NCBI's taxonomy places the organism in Eukaryota, Viridiplantae, Streptophyta, Magnoliopsida, Brassicales, Brassicaceae. The record is from RefSeq. The transcript has a single exon.
UAGAAACCGAUUGUGCCAGUUAGGACGAAGAAUGCGUAAGAGAUGAUAAUCAUGUACCCGAAGUAGAGCAUUCCCGAGACUAGCUUUGUGAUCUCCAGCUUUGUGAAGAAGUAGAAGAUUGAGUAGAGGAAGAGGUAGAAAGCGGAUGAGCCCGCAGUUAAGUAAGCUCUCCACCACCAGUUGUAGUCUUCGCUACAAAGCUGGAAGUAGCAGAGCACCACUGUGAUCUCUGCACAGGUGACGAUCAAGAUCAAAAAAACUAUAAAGAGGAACCCGAAGAUGUAGUAGAACUGGUUCAGCCAUAUAGAUGUCAAGAUGAAGAAGAGCUCGAUGAAGAC